UCGAAACCUGCCUAGCAGAGCGACCCGCGAACAAGUGAAAACAAACCUGGGCGGAACGAGGAGGGGCGUAUGCCUUGAUCGCCCGCCCAUUGGACCACGACUCACUGUGCGUUUGCAUUGAUAUGCGGGCGGAUGGGUGGGUUGUUGCGUCUAUUAAAACAAAAAACUAGCGUGGCAUGCGCCAAAGAAAUCUUAACAGAAAAAUAGGGUUGCCCCAUUCACGGAGGCAUCCUUUGGAUCCGAUACU
Molecule: unclassified non-coding RNA, 247 nt
Filed under: Aconitum nipponicum
Lineage: Eukaryota; Viridiplantae; Streptophyta; Magnoliopsida; Ranunculales; Ranunculaceae
Source: RNAcentral